Molecule: ribosomal RNA, 564 nt
Filed under: uncultured bacterium
Lineage: Bacteria
Description: partial 16S ribosomal RNA
Rfam family: Bacterial small subunit ribosomal RNA
Source: RNAcentral
UGGGGAAUCUUGCACAAUGGGGGAAACCCUGAUGCAGCGACGCCGCGUGAGCGAUGAAGCCCUUCGGGGUGUAAAGCUCUUUCGACGGGGACGAUAAUGACGGUACCCGAAGAAGAAGCUGCGGCUAACUACGUGCCAGCAGCCGCGGUAAUACGUAGGCAGCAAGCGUUGUUCGGAAUUACUGGGCGUAAAGAGUGCGUAGGCGGUUUGGCAAGUUUGGUGUGAAAUCUCCCGGCUUAACUGGGAGGGUGCGCCGAAAACUGCCAGGCUAGAGUGUGGGAGAGGGAAGUGGAAUUCCUGGUGUAGCGGUGAAAUGCGUAGAUAUCAGGAGGAACACCUGCGGUGUAGACGGCUUCCUGGACCACUACUGACGCUGAGGCACGAAAGCGUGGGGAGCAAACAGGAUUAGAUACCCUGGUAGUCCACGCCCUAAACGAUACGGACUUGGUGUUGGCCUUUCAUUGGGUCAGUGCCGAAGCUAACGCGGUAAGUCCGCCGCCUGGGGAGUACGGUCGCAAGGCUGAAACUCAAAUGAAUUGACGGGGGCUCAUGAGCUGUUUCCUG